RNAcentral lists this ribosomal RNA (498 nucleotides) under uncultured bacterium. Its description in RNAcentral is "bacterial SSU rRNA". It matches the Rfam family "Bacterial small subunit ribosomal RNA", at positions 28 to 517 of the family's 1533-position model. The record is from RNAcentral.
GAUGAACGCUAGCGGCAGGCUUAACACAUGCAAGUCGAGGGGCAGCGAGAUUGUUAGCAAUAACGAUUGUCGGCGACCGGCGCAAGGGUGCGUAACGCGUGAGCAACUUGCCCGUUUCUGGGGAAUAACCGUUGGAAACGACGACUAAUACCCCAUAGUAUCCGAUUGAGGCAUCUCUUUGGGAUUAAAGAAAUUCGGAAACGGAUAGGCUCGCGUGACAUUAGCUAGACGGCGGGGUAACGGCCCACCGUGGCGACGAUGUCUAGGGGUUCUGAGAGGAAGGUCCCCCACACUGGAACUGAGACACGGUCCAGACUCCUACGGGAGGCAGCAGUGAGGAAUAUUGGUCAAUGGUCUGACGACUGAACCAGCCAUGCCGCGUGAAGGUCACGGCCCUAUGGGUCUUAAACUUCUUUUGCGAGGGAGCAAUAAGGCGCACGUGUGCGUCGAUGAGAGUACCUCGCGAAUAAGCAUCGGCUAACUCCGUGCCAGCAGCCG